This 468-nucleotide ribosomal RNA is filed under the name uncultured bacterium. RNAcentral's name for it is "partial 16S ribosomal RNA". It matches the Rfam family "Bacterial small subunit ribosomal RNA", at positions 28 to 507 of the family's 1533-position model. The record is from RNAcentral.
GACGAACGCUGGCGGUGUGCUUAACACAUGCAAGUCGAACGGUAAGGCCCUUUCGGGGGUACACGAGUGGCGAACGGGUGAGUAACACGUGAGUAACCUGCCCUCAUCUCUGGGAUAACAGUCGGAAACGGUUGCUAAUACUGGAUAUGAGCUUGCAAGGCAUCUUGUGGGUUGGAAAGAUUUUUUUUGGUUGGGGAUGGACUCGCGGCCUAUCAGCUUGUCGGUGAGGUAGUGGCUCACCAAGGCUUCGACGGGUAGCCGGCCUGAGAGGGCGACCGGCCACAUUGGGACUGAGAUACGGCCCAAACUCCGACGGGAGGCAGCAGUGGGGAAUAUUGCACAAUGGACGGAAGUCUGAUGCAGCAACGCCGCGUGCGGGAUGACGGCCUUCGGGUUGUAAACCGCUUUCAAUUGUGACGAAGCUUUUUUGUGACGGUAGCAGUAGAAGAAGCACCGGCUAACUACGUG